GAUGAACGCUAGCGGCAGGCCUAGCACAUGCAAGUCGAGGGGCAGCACAGAAACAGCAAUGUUUUGGUGGCGACCGGCGGACGGGUGCGUAACGCGUAUGCAACCUACCUUUAACAGGGGGAUAACGGAGAGAAAUUUCCACUAAUACCCCAUAACAUCGAUCAAGGCAUCUUGAUUGGUUGAAAACUCCGGUGGUUAAAGAUGGGCAUGCGUUGUAUUAGGUAGUUGGUGAGGGAAUGGCUCACCAAGCCUACGGUACAUAGGGGGACUGAGAGGUUAGCCCCCAACACUUGUAAUGAGACACGGACCAGACUCCUGCGGGAAGCAGCAGUGAGGAAUAUUGGUCAAUGGGGGCAACCCUUAACCAGCCAUGCCGCGUGCAGGAAGACGGCUCUAUGAGUUGUAAACUGCUUUUAAACAGAGAUAAAGCACAGUAUGUAUACUGUGUUGAAGGUACUGUAAGAAUAAGGAUCGGCUAACUCCGUGCCAGCCGCCGCCGUAA
Molecule: ribosomal RNA, 502 nt
Filed under: uncultured bacterium
Lineage: Bacteria
Description: partial 16S ribosomal RNA
Rfam family: Bacterial small subunit ribosomal RNA
Source: RNAcentral